ACUCAAAGGAAUUGACGGGGGCCCGCACAAGCGGAGGAGCAUGUGGUUUAAUUCGAUGAUACGCGAGGAACCUUACCCGGGCUUGAAUUGCAGUGGAAUGUUCAGGAAACUGUUCAGUCUUCGGACCACUGUGAAGGUGCUGCAUGGUUGUCGUCAGCUCGUGCCGUGAGGUGUUAGGUUAAGUCCUGCAACGAGCGCAACCCUUACACUUAGUUGCCAGCAUGUAAUGAUGGGGACUCUAUGUGAACUGCCUACGCAAGUAGUGAGGAAGGUGGGGAUGACGUCAAAUCAGCACGGCCCUUAUGUUCGGGGCUACACACGUGCUACAAUGGUCGGUACAGAGGGCAGCUACCCCGCGAGGGGAUGCGAAUCUCGAAAGCCGAUCUCAGUUCGGAUCGGAGUCUGUAACUCGACUCCGUGAAGUUGGAUUCGCUAGUAAUCGCGCAUCAGCCAUGGCGCGGUGAAUACGUUCCCGGGCCUUGUACACACCGCCCGU
RNAcentral lists this ribosomal RNA (496 nucleotides) under uncultured bacterium. RNAcentral's name for it is "bacterial SSU rRNA". It matches the Rfam family "Bacterial small subunit ribosomal RNA", at positions 899 to 1397 of the family's 1533-position model. The record is from RNAcentral.